UCUGCUUUAUGCUGCCAAUUUCAGGAGCCAACUGAGGAGUCUCUUCACCGAGAGCUGGAAGGUGCUGGGCGAUCAAGUCUGUGGUAGAAACAGGAUGGUGUAACUGAGACAAGAUGAAAUCUGUAAACGUUUGGACCUUGAAUCAGUAACACUGCAACGAAAGCCAAAGGCAGGAGUCCAGUUGCUCCGGGACAGUGGAAAUACUUCAGAUGGUUCUUGAGGAGAAAUGAGCAAGUUGAAGAGAGAUGAUGUCAAGGAGAUGAGGUGGUUUGGGUGGGAAACCACAGGACAUGGAGCCACGGACACAGCACAGAUGGGCUAUCCACACCGGCUAAUCGGCCCGACUUCCUCAUGCAGAUGGCACUAAGGCUAGAACUGUCUUCAUUUUUGAAGAAUAAGAACUACAGUCGUGCAAGCUCUGUCCCCUUUCACAACCAGACUAAACCAUGGAAGGAAAUUCAGGUGAUUCACUUUGCUGCAGCUGAACUGACUCUGAAAUCUGACUCUUCCACCAACAAGCAACCUGGGACCUUCACAAGCCCUAAAGCUGUUCCUACUGAGCCCUGCUAAGCUAAGGGAUCACAUUUCAUCAGAGUGAAGGAUGAAACCGCAGGAGCGGGGAGGAAAUGCUUCUCUCGGUGCAGCCUG
Molecule: non-coding RNA, 648 nt
Organism: Struthio camelus australis
Lineage: Eukaryota; Metazoa; Chordata; Aves; Struthioniformes; Struthionidae
Source: RefSeq, a predicted model, not a curated record